Molecule: ribosomal RNA, 374 nt
Filed under: uncultured organism
Description: partial 16S ribosomal RNA
Rfam family: Bacterial small subunit ribosomal RNA
Source: RNAcentral
GUAGGUGGCAAGCGUUGUCCGGAAUUAUUGGGCGUAAAGCGCGCGCAGGCGGUUCUUUAAGUCUGAUGUGAAAGCCCACGGCUCAACCGUGGAGGGUCAUUGGAAACUGGAGAACUUGAGUACAGAAGAGGAAAGCGGAAUUCCACGUGUAGCGGUGAAAUGCGUAGAGAUGUGGAGGAACACCAGUGGCGAAGGCGGCUUUCUGGUCUGUAACUGACGCUGAGGCGCGAAAGCGUGGGGUAGCAAACAGGGAUUAGAUACCCUGGUAGUCCACGCCGUAAACGAUGAGUGCUAAGUGUUAGGGGGGUUUCCGCCCCCUUAGUGCUGCAGCUAACGCAUUAAGCACUCCGCCUGGGGAUACGGCCGCAAGGCUG